This 247-nucleotide ribosomal RNA is filed under the name uncultured bacterium. RNAcentral's name for it is "partial small subunit ribosomal RNA". It matches the Rfam family "Bacterial small subunit ribosomal RNA", at positions 26 to 278 of the family's 1533-position model. The record is from RNAcentral.
AGGACGAACGCUGGCGGCGUGCUUAACACAUGCAAGUCGAGCGGAAAGGCCCUUCGGGGUACUCGAGCGGCGAACGGGUGAGUAACACGUGAGCAACCUGCCCUUAGCUCCGGGAUAGCUCCGGGAAACCGGAAUUAAUACCGGAUACGACCACAGCCGACAUCUGCUGUGGUGGAAAGGAUUCCGGCUAAGGAUGGGCUCGCGGCCUAUCAGCUAGUUGGUGGAGUAACGGCCCACCAAGGCGACG